This 497-nucleotide ribosomal RNA is filed under the name uncultured bacterium. RNAcentral's name for it is "partial 16S ribosomal RNA". It matches the Rfam family "Bacterial small subunit ribosomal RNA", at positions 28 to 507 of the family's 1533-position model. The record is from RNAcentral.
GAUGAACGCUGGCGGCGUGCCUAAUACAUGCAAGUCGAGCGAACAGAUAAGGAGCUUGCUCCUUUGACGUUAGCGGCGGACGGGUGAGUAACACGUGGGUAACCUACCUAUAAGACUGGCAUAACUCCGGGAAACCGGGGCUAAUGCAGGAUAACAUGUUGAACCGCAUGGUUCUACAGUGAAAGGCGGCUUUGCUGUCACUUAUAGAUGGACCCGCGCCGUAUUAGCUAGUUGGUGAGGUAACGGCUCACCAAGGCAACGAUACGUAGCCGACCUGAGAGGGGGAUCGGCCACACUGGAACUGAGACACGGUCCAGACUCCUACGGGAGGCAGCAGUAGGGAAUCUGCCGCAAUGGGCGAAAGCCGGACGGAGCAACGCCGCGUGAGUGAUGAAGGUCUUCGGAUCGUAAAACUCUGUUAUUAGGGAAGAACAAAUGCGUAAGUAACUGUGCGCGUCGGGACGGUACCUAAUCAGAAAGCCACGGCUAACUACGUG